Molecule: long non-coding RNA, 1307 nt
Organism: Bos taurus (domestic cattle)
Lineage: Eukaryota; Metazoa; Chordata; Mammalia; Artiodactyla; Bovidae
Source: Ensembl
GUAAGUCAUGACCUUAUUAUUUUAUUUGGGAGGGAGGGAUCAAGUCGAGAAGCCAAAUUUAUACAAAUAAGGAGAGAAAUACAAAUAAGGACGUGAGAUUGGAGGAGUGGUCACACCCCAGUCUUGUUCGGCAGUUGAAGUUUCUUGUUAAUUUGGAUCUCUUGAAAUGAUAGUGGCUAUGCUUGCAGGUAUUUCUGAGACUCCAUUUAGAUUCCUUUAAAUGGAGGUGAAACGUUAAAAUAAAGCAGGACUGUCUCUCAAGAUGAAAAAAAAAAAAAAGAUCUACCGGCUAUUGUCCUCACUGCCUGAUUGACUAGUAGAAAACACAUCUCCAUGGGAACAGAUAAAUGUCUGCUUUUCACGCGGUGAAAAUAACCAGCUCAGCCUGUGCAGCUUCACCAACCUAGCACUUUAUUUGGACGGCUGUAAGCAGCCUCUCCCUUUUCAUGUUCAGCCAAAUUAUCUGCCAGAAUUUCUUUUCAAGUCUAGGGAGGGGAAAAAAAAAGAAUUCCCUCCCCCAUCCCCCCACCGCAUGGAGUUAAUUACUGUAUUUUCAUCUGGGAGGGUGGGAAAAAAUACACGCUGGGCUGAAACAGCACACAAAACAGCGGCUGGCGUAUGGAUCUGCCUGGUGUCUAUUAGCCGUUGGGGAUUUUUUUUAAGGUCUUCUUCAAACUGCAGGCUGUGACCUACCUGGAGGUGGUGAGAGCCAGCAGCAGGUCGCAAUCAGCACUUUCUUCAUGGAAUGGAGCACACAGCACAUGGGAAGGGCCUGGUUCCAGAUACAGUCAUAUUCUAAGAUGCUGGGGCACCUAGUGGUAAAGACCAUGGAGAAGGCUGAGCGCCAAAGAACCGCGGUGCUGGACGAGACUCCUGAGAGCCCCUUGGGCUGCAAGAAGAUCCAACCAGUCCAUCCUAAAGAUCAGUCCUGGGUGUUCAUUGGAAGGACUGAUGCUGAAGCUGAAACUCCAAUACUUUGGCCACCUCGUGUGAAGAGCUGACUCAUUGGAAACGACCCUGAUGCUGGGAAAGAUUGAGGGCAGGAGGAGAAGGGACGACAGAGGAUGAGAUGGUUGGAUGGCAUCAUCGACUCGAUGGACAUGGGCUUGGGUGAACUCCGGGAGUUGGUGAUGGACAGGGAGGCCUGGUGUGCUGCAGUCUACUGGGUCUCGCAUAUCCCCUAGAGAAGGAUAUGGCAACCCACUCCAGUGUUUCUCGCCUGUAAAAUCCCGCGGAAAGAGGAGCCUGGCAGGCUACAGUCCACUGGGUCACACCUGAGUGACUGGGCACACACAGGACAUCAGUGA